CCCGAAACCAGGUGAUCUACCCUUGGUCAGGUUGAAGUUCAGGUAACACUGAAUGGAGGACCGAACCGACUUACGUUGAAAAGUGAGCGGAUGAACUGAGGGUAGCGGAGAAAUUCCAAUCGAACCUGGAGAUAGCUGGUUCUCUCCGAAAUAGCUUUAGGGCUAGCCUCAAGUGAUGAUUAUUGGAGGUAGAGCACUGUUUGGACGAGGGGCCCCUCUCGGGUUACCGAAUUCAGACAAACUCCGAAUGCCAAUUAAUUUAACUUGGGAGUCAGAACAUGGGUGAUAAGGUCCGUGUUCGAAAGGGAAACAGCCCAGACCACCAGCUAAGGUCCCAAAAUAUAUGUUAAGUGGAAAAGGAUGUGGCGUUGCCCAGACAACUAGGAUGUUGGCUUAGAAGCAGCCAUCAUUUAAAGAGUGCGUAAUAGCUCACUAGUCGAGUGACACUGCGCCGAAAAUGUACCGGGGCUAAACAUAUUACCGAAGCUGUGGAUUGUCCUUUGGACAAUGGUAGGAGAGCGUUCUAAGGGCGUUGAAGCAUGAUCGUAAGGACAUGUGGAGCGCUUAGAAGUGAGAAUGCCGGUGUGAGUAGCGAAAGACGGGUGAGAAUCCCGUCCACCGAUUGACUAAGGUUUCCAGAGGAAGGCUCGUCCGCUCUGGGUUAGUCGGGUCCUAAGCUGAGGCCGACAGGCGUAGGCGAUGGAUAACAGGUUGAUAUUCCUGUACCACCUAUAAUCGUUUUAAUCGAUGGGGGGACGCAGUAGGAUAGGCGAAGCGUGCGAUUGGAUUGCACGUCUAAGCAGUAAGGCUGAGUAUUAGGCAAAUCCGGUACUCGUUAAGGCUGAGCUGUGAUGGGGAGAAGACAUUGUGUCUUCGAGUCGUUGAUUUCACACUGCCGAGAAAAGCCUCUAGAUAGAAAAUAGGUGCCCGUACCGCAAACCGACACAGGUAGUCAAGAUGAGAAUUCUAAGGUGAGCGAGCGAACUCUCGUUAAGGAACUCGGCAAAAUGACCCCGUAACUUCGGGAGAAGG
This 1032-nucleotide ribosomal RNA is filed under the name Staphylococcus aureus. RNAcentral's name for it is "partial 23S ribosomal RNA". It matches the Rfam family "Bacterial large subunit ribosomal RNA", at positions 714 to 1746 of the family's 2925-position model. The record is from RNAcentral. Lineage: Bacteria; Bacillati; Bacillota; Bacilli; Caryophanales; Staphylococcaceae.